CGCCGAAAAUGUACCGGGGCUAAACAUAUUACCGAAACUGUGGAUGAACCUCUUUAGAGGUUCGUGGUAGGAGAGCGUUCUAAGGGCGGUGAAGUCAGACCGGAAGGACUGGUGGAGCGCUUAGAAGUGAGAAUGCCGGUAUGAGUAGCGAAAGAAGGGUGAGAAUCCCUUCCACCGAAUAUCUAAGGUUUCCUGAGGAAGGCUCGUCCGCUCAGGGUUAGUCGGGACCUAAGCCGAGGCCGAUAGGCGUAGGCGAUGGACAACAGGUAGAGAUUCCUGUACCAGUGCUAAUUGUUUAACCGAUGGGGUGACACAGAAGGAUAGGGAAUCGCACGAAUGGAAAUGUGCGUCCAAGCAGUGAGUGUGAGAAGUAGGCAAAUCCGCUUCUCGCGAAGCAUGAGCUGUGAUGGGGAAGGAAAUUAAGUACGGAAGUUCC
RNAcentral lists this ribosomal RNA (436 nucleotides) under Listeria monocytogenes. RNAcentral describes it as "bacterial LSU rRNA". It matches the Rfam family "Bacterial large subunit ribosomal RNA", at positions 1162 to 1594 of the family's 2925-position model. The record is from RNAcentral. Lineage: Bacteria; Bacillati; Bacillota; Bacilli; Caryophanales; Listeriaceae.